Molecule: long non-coding RNA, 1195 nt
Filed under: Homo sapiens (human)
Lineage: Eukaryota; Metazoa; Chordata; Mammalia; Primates; Hominidae
Description: HSALNT0181663
Source: RNAcentral
GAGUCCUCAGAAUCCUUCUCAACUCAGCAUUUAAUAAGAAUGAGAAUUGAAGAAGGGUGACCUUCAUGACACUCAUUAGUACACAAGGGGAUGAGACAACAGCCACCUUAACAGGGCUGGAUGGUUGGCCAGGCUGCUGAUUGCACAGUGAGUGUGGGGACGACGAGAUUCACCAGGAAGCGGUUGGGACUGCUCCAGGCCUGCUUCUCUUUAUGCCCAUGGCUGGUGGCUUCAUUCUGAGCUCCUGGGAGGGGACCAGGUUCAUUCCCUCCUAUCUACGUACCUCUGUCCUUGCUACCUGGCCCACAGGGAGGCAGCAGUCCCAGCUCCUUACCUGUUGCUGCUGCUGCAGACACCACCUAUGGCUCUGAGAGUGCUCAGGAAAACUGGUGGGGCCAUGAGUUAGUUUGAGAGGCACAUAGCAGUGCUCCUAAUUAGAAGUACUCCAACUGACUCCCACACUGUCCUCAAAAUCAUCCUUCAACAAACGAGACUCCCCUGUUUCUCACUGACUAAGGUUCAAGCUCCUUAGCACAGCCGAUGAGGGCCGGCACCAUGUUAGCCCUGCGAUUUUUUCAGCCAGACUUGGAUUUCUUAUGUGCCUUGUGUCCCCAACUCUCCAGUCCUGCCAAAUGUCUCCUGGUCCUUUGAACAUCUUGCUAUGCUUUUUCAGAUGCUGAGCCCAGUGCCUGGGAUCACCUUCUCCCUCUUGUCUCACAGAUAAGUCCUGCCCAUUUUUGAAGACUGAUAUGGUUUGACUGUGUUCUCAGCCAAAUCUCAUCUUGGAUUGCUCCCAUAAUUCCCAUAUGUUGUGGGAGGGACCCAGUGGGAGAUAAUUGAAUCACGGGGGCAGUUUCCCCCAUACUGUUCUCGUGGUAGUGAAUAAGUCUCAUGAGAUCUGAUGGUUUUAAAAGGGGAAACCCCUUUCACUUGGCUUGCUUUCUCUCUUGUUUGCCACCAUGUGAGACAUGUCUUUUGACUUCCACCAUGAUUGUGAGGCCUCCCCAGCCACGUGGAAUGGUCUGGAAGGCAUGCCUCACCAAACUGAAGUUGAAGCCAAAACCUGGAGGAAGGAUAGAGGGAAGACAGAGGCCGGGUGCAGUGCCUCACACCUGUAGUCCCAGCACUUUGGGAGGCCAUGGUGGGUGGAUCAUGAGGUCAGGAGUUCAAGGCCAGCCUGGCCGACAGGGUGACC